GCGGUGGAGCAUGUGGUUUAAUUCGAAGCAACGCGCAGAACCUUACCAGCCCUUGACAUACCGGUCGCGGACACAGAGAUGUGUCUUUCAGUUCGGCUGGACCGGAUACAGGUGCUGCAUGGCUGUCGUCAGCUCGUGUCGUGAGAUGUUGGGUUAAGUCCCGCAACGAGCGCAACCCUCGCCCUUAGUUGCCAGCAUUUAGUUGGGCACUCUAAGGGGACUGCCGGUGAUAAGCCGAGAGGAAGGUGGGGAUGACGUCAAGUCCUCAUGGCCCUUACGGGCUGGGCUACACACGUGCUACAAUGGUGGUGACAGUGGGCAGCGAGCACGCGAGUGUGAGCUAAUCUCCAAAAGCCAUCUCAGUUCGGAUUGCACUCUGCAACUCGAGUGCAUGAAGUCGGAAUCGCUAGUAAUCGUGAAUCAGAAUGUCACGGUGAAUACGUUCCCGGGCCUU
Molecule: ribosomal RNA, 454 nt
Filed under: uncultured Ochrobactrum sp.
Lineage: Bacteria; Pseudomonadati; Pseudomonadota; Alphaproteobacteria; Hyphomicrobiales; Brucellaceae
Description: bacterial SSU rRNA
Rfam family: Bacterial small subunit ribosomal RNA
Source: RNAcentral